RNAcentral lists this ribosomal RNA (368 nucleotides) under uncultured eukaryote. RNAcentral describes it as "partial 18S ribosomal RNA". It matches the Rfam family "Eukaryotic small subunit ribosomal RNA", at positions 592 to 976 of the family's 1831-position model. The record is from RNAcentral.
CAGUAGCGUAUAUUAUAGUUGUUGCAGUUAAAAUGCUCGUAGUUGAAGUUCGGAUGCAGCAGAGCUUGGAAACGCUGUUAUGGUGCUUCCGUUGCUUUUGCUUGUCCACAGUGCGUUGCAAGUACGUAUGUGCUUGUGCGUGCAUUUUACUUUGAGAAACAUAGGGUGUUCCACGCAUGUUACGGCAUGAAUAUUCCAGCAUGGGAUAAUCUGGUACGACUUCCAAUCUGCCAUUUUGGUUCGUAGGUUGGAAGUAAUGAUCAAUAGGGACUGUCGGGGGCAUUGGUAUUUGACUGUCAGAGGUGAAAUUCUGAGAUUCGUUGAGGACCAACCACUGCGAAAGCAUUUGUCAAGGGUGCCUCCAUUAA